RNAcentral lists this transfer RNA (75 nucleotides) under Cardita variegata. RNAcentral's name for it is "tRNA-Lys". It matches the Rfam family "tRNA". Rfam says of the family: Transfer RNA (tRNA) molecules are approximately 80 nucleotides in length. Their secondary structure includes four short double-helical elements and three loops (D, anti-codon, and T loops). The record is from RNAcentral. Lineage: Eukaryota; Metazoa; Mollusca; Bivalvia; Carditida; Carditidae.
GUAAAAAUAGCUUAAUUUAAUUAAAGCACUUGAUUUUUAACCAAGCGAUGAAGGAGGAGACGACUUCUUUUUACA